AUGGAGGGGCUCGACGUCGACGAAGUCUUCCACCACUACCGGCUGAGCCCUACGGAAGUGGAGGCCGUCACCUACUACCUGCCACGCCUCCUCUCCGGCGAGACGCUGCAGGCCGUCGACAAGCUCAUCCACCGCGUCCAAAUCUCCGGCUGCGAGCCCAAGGAUCUGGCCGCCCGAUACGCGCCCGUGCCGCAGGCCGUGAGCAGCGGCGACCGGUUCUUCUUCACCACGUGCAAGAGCAAGAACGGGAGCAAGCUCCAGAGCGUGCGCGGCGGCGGCGGCGGCACCUGGAGCAUCCAGAAGACCACGGAGAUUAGCCACGCGGGAGUCAAGGUCGGCGAGGUCAAGAACCUGUCCUUCAAGAAGAAGGGCAAGUCGACAGGCUGGGUCAUGGAGGAAUACCAGUGCCUGCUGCCGGAGGCCACCGUCUCCGACGGGGUGAAGGUGUUCUGCAAGAUGCACUUGGCUCAGCAUACCCCUGACGCGGCCCGCCAGGAAUCGGCCGCGUACAAGCUUCAGCAACAGCAACCAGAGGCCGCGACCCCGAGCACGCACGCGCAGAAGAGGCCAGCGACCGCUGCCGCCGCCGAUCCUCAUCCGCCGCGCCCCAAGAAGAGGACGUGCGUUGCCGUCCCCGUCCCGGUCCCGGCAUCUGCCACACCGUCGUUCUUGAUGUAUGAUGAGGCAGCCAGAGCAAUGCAUGGCCCGCUGCCUCACACCAACUUCCCUGUUCAGUAUGCACAAGCAUCAUGCGAGUCCACUACAACAUCCAGCCGCUCCGACGUUGCUCAAGCUCCUGAGAUUUCCUCCCAGUCACAUGUGAUGGAGUGCACCCAAUCACAAGAGGCUGGCUCGAGCAUUGCAAGGAGCACAUCUGAAGAGGAUGUCUUUGAGCCAUUGGGGCCUAUUUCCGAUUUGCCGGAUUGUGGGGAAGAUGGUUUUGAUCUUGAAAAACUAAUGAGAAUGAUGUUGUGGCAAAUUCAAGUUGUGGCAAAAAAAGCUUGUUCUGUCUAUUUACAGUGCGGAGUAAACAGUUAUUACAGUGUCAAUGUUCAUGAUUUACAAUGUGGAGUAGUCAUAUUUUUCCUUGAAAUCUAA
Molecule: ribosomal RNA, 1098 nt
Filed under: Triticum aestivum (bread wheat)
Lineage: Eukaryota; Viridiplantae; Streptophyta; Magnoliopsida; Poales; Poaceae
Description: partial small subunit ribosomal RNA
Source: RNAcentral